Long non-coding RNA from Asparagus officinalis (garden asparagus), 1890 nucleotides. RefSeq lists it as uncharacterized. The transcript is spliced from 8 exons. NCBI's taxonomy places the organism in Eukaryota, Viridiplantae, Streptophyta, Magnoliopsida, Asparagales, Asparagaceae. The record is from RefSeq and is a predicted model, not a curated record.
CGUCGUCCCGACGCUAGAAGCCAUCUUCUAUAAUUAAAGCAUGUGAUGUAGUAGUCUCCCGCUUACUCUCAUUUCAGAAUAAAAAGGAAACUCAAUUUCAUUUCGAGGCAUCUCUAGGUUUAGGGUUCGAGAUUUGCGACUGCGUGCCAAAAAGUUUAGAAGAUGAUCAGAGCUCUAACAUGGAUCUUAUUGUGCUUUUCGAAAUUGUGGAGGCUACGAAUUAGGGUUUGGUUCUGGUUCGCACUUCUCUCCUGUUCGUAUUCAGGUCUUUGAUCGAGCAAUUUCAACAUCCAGCCUGAGAUUUGAGCUGAUCGCUGGAUUUUGAGGAAGCUAAGAAUGGUGAUGCCUCGCUCGUCUCAGAGACGAUUACGAUGCUGGAGAGAAGAAAGGUCGAGGUCAAGUUGGAUGAGCCGCUCAUAUAAACCUAGACCUAAGCUGAUUUUCUGCUCGGGAAAUUUGAUGACAUCACCGCAGCGCUACUUAAACAACUUGUAAUUAUUUUGUCUUGAUUCCUUGUUUUCUAUGCUGCAAAGGGAGGAAUGGGCGACAGUGAAAGGAGGCUGGCCCGCAGUGCAGGACGUCCAGAUUUGAAGCAAGGAUGAAGCAAUAUCAACUAGCCUUUCUUAUUUGUAAGCCGUCAAUUGGAAAAUGAUUCCCCAAAGGAAGAGCAAACUGAGGGCUUGCUGCCUAAAAAACUAUCAAAUCCAAGGAGUAUUCCAAUGUCCAGGCGCGUCUUGGUUAAACGAGGCCAGGCCAUACCACUUCUAAUAAUCAUUUGAAAGUUUCAUUCGGAAUGUUGAUGAGCGCGUCUUGGCUAAACGAGGCCAGCCUAUACCACUUCUAAUAAUCAUUUGGAAGUUUCAUUCGGAAUGUUGAGUACUUCUAUCACUACAGUGUUUAACUGAAGUAUGAAGAUGAUCGGCCUGUGGAUGGUGAGGGGGUUCACACAACAGUUAUCGACAAACUACACCAAACCUUUGACAGUGAGCUUGGUAACAAGGAUUUUGCAUAUGACGGGGCAAAAGAGUUUGUUUUUGUAAUGCAUCACAGAAUAGAACUUCUGGCUGUGGAAGCCCAGGCGGAAAUGACAGCCCGGCCAAGAUUCACCGUAAGCAGUUGAGGCGUCCCUACCAGACAGUCCUUGAAAGUUGAGCUGAAUUUUGCUAAAGUGUCUCCAAUGCGGUCAAUUGCAAUGGCUUUAAAAGGGGUUGCUUGCUUGCCCUUCAAUCUUUUUUCAGACCAACCCUUCAAACUUCACUGCUAUGGGAGGGGCUGUCUUGGGUUAUAGAGGGCUUCACUCAAGCUCCUGAACCUACGAAGGUGGCCUAUCAAUAUUGAAUAUAGGCAAAUCAUAUGCUUAAAUGUUUUUGUGUCAAAUAACUGAAGGCUUGAAACGACCUGAAUAAGUAAGAUCUUCAAGAUUUCUGCCGCUUCAAUUAGUUUGAUCUUCACAGAGGGCUUUAUCUUCUGAGCAUGCAUUUUAACUUUUCUGUUUCUUUCAUGAUUGUAGGUUUGGCAAUAAAUAAUAAUUCUUGUUUUACAGUAACUGCCUUUGAGAUUAUGAAUCUUUGUGCAAUUCAUGUGAAAAGGGUUAUGAUUAUGCCCAGGUGCGGAUUCACCCUAUGACCGUAAGGAAAGUGGUGUUAUGUGACACCAGAUGUAUGAAAAGUCAACAAAUGUAUGAAAGUCAGCAUGCAAGCUUAUCAGAAAAAGAGAACAACUCAAACUCUUCGACAUCAUGUAUCAUCCAAAAUUGUAGUAUGAUAGUAACUGUAGCUAAAUCCAAAAGGAAAUGAAUGGGCUAGGUUACUAGGUGCUGAAAUCACAUUAGAUCAAAAAGAUACAAAAAUGCAAAAAUAAUACUGUAACAAUGUAUAAUAAGUGCAUUCA